Molecule: non-coding RNA, 1045 nt
Organism: Ochotona curzoniae (black-lipped pika)
Lineage: Eukaryota; Metazoa; Chordata; Mammalia; Lagomorpha; Ochotonidae
Source: the annotation of a RefSeq genome assembly
AUGGACAUGAGGGCCCCUACUCAGCUCCUGGGCCUCCUGCUGCUCUGCCUCCUAGGUGCCAGAUGUUCCGGCCAAACGAUAACCCAGAGUCCAUCGGUGGUGUCUGCACCUGUGGGAGGCACAGCCACCAUCAAUUGCCAGUUAAGUCAGAGUGUUUGCCAGAACAAUCAAUUAUCCUGGUAUCAGCAGAAACCAAGACAACGUCCAAAGCUCCUGAUCUAUCUGGCAUCCACUUUAGCACCUGGGGUUCCCUCGAGGUUCAAGGGCAGUGGAUCUGGGACAUCAUUCACCCUCACCAUCAGCCCGGUGCAGGCUGAGGAUGCAGGAAUCUACUACUGUCAAGGAUGUUUUUGUACUAGUGAUUGUUCGGCUCCCACAGUGAUACAAGCCUGUACAAAAACCUCCCAUGAAAGCAGAAGUAUGGGUGUGGGCUUCCCCAUCUGCUCAUCCUUAGGCUUAUCAUCUAACAGGCAUUCGUUGAUUCAAUAAGUCAUGCAUGGUUUGUGAAACUUAAUACAAAGUCCUCUGGAACUCCUUCUAGCGUUCUUAAUUUUUCUUUGAAGUUGGCAGCUGGAUCUCAGGAAUGUCCAUGAUUUUACUCAUUUAAAGGUAAGGAAUGAUUAUGCUUGAGUACUCAAUGUUACAUUAUGCCUUCGAUUCAUACAGUAAAAAGGAAUUAUUAUGGAUCUUUCAAGCAGAAACAUUAAGUAGAAUUUAUUAUAAUCCAAUUAUACUUUCAUGUUCUAGGAAGGUGGGCUAAGAGAUAGUGAUCUUAGAAACGUGUGUUUCUGUAUUCACCCUGAAUUCCAGCCUCUCUGAGAGAAGGAACAGGCUCCUGACUCUGUGGUCCUCGUCCCUGGAGCUGAUGCUCUCAGCUGCCUGCAUCCUCACAGGUGGUUCCUCAGUCCUUCAUUACUGGUUCUGCCUGCAAGUGCUGAUGGAUUUUCAGAACUUGUCUUCUGAUAUUCAAAUGUCAGGGUACAUGGGUUCAUUGUUUCAUGAAUUCAUGGUGAGCUAGGAAAUGCGAUUUUAACUCAGGUGAAUA